Molecule: ribosomal RNA, 492 nt
Filed under: uncultured bacterium
Lineage: Bacteria
Description: partial 16S ribosomal RNA
Rfam family: Bacterial small subunit ribosomal RNA
Source: RNAcentral
AGUGAACGCUGGCGGUAGGCCUAACACAUGCAAGUCGAACGGCAGCACAGUAAGAGCUUGCUCUUACGGGUGGCGAGUGGCGGACGGGUGGGGAAUACAUCGGAAUCUACUUUUUCGUGGGGGAUAACGUAGGGAAACUUACGCUAAUACCGCAUACGACCUACGGGUGAAAGCAGGGGAUCUUCGGACCUUGCGCGAUUGAAUGAGCCGAUGUCGGAUUAGCUCGUUGGCGGGGUAAAGGCCCACCAAGGCGACGAUCCGUAGCUGGUCUGAGAGGAUGAUCAGCCACACUGGAACUGAGACACGGUCCAGACUCCUACGGGAGGCAGCAGUGGGGAAUAUUGGACAAUGGGCGCAAGCCUGAUCCAGCCAUACCGCGUGGGUGAAGAAGGCCUUCGGGUUGUAAAGCCCUUUUGUUGGGAAAGAAAAGCAGCAGGUUAAUACCCCGCUGUUCUGACGGUACCCAAAGAAUAAGCACCGGCUAACUUCGUG